Molecule: ribosomal RNA, 497 nt
Filed under: uncultured bacterium
Lineage: Bacteria
Description: partial 16S ribosomal RNA
Rfam family: Bacterial small subunit ribosomal RNA
Source: RNAcentral
GAUGAACGCUGGCGGCGUGCCUAAUACAUGCAAGUCGAGCGAACGGACGAGAAGCUUGCUUCUCUGAUGUUAGCGGCGGACGGGUGAGUAACACGUGGAUAACCUACCUAUAAGACUGGGAUAACUUCGGGAAACCGGAGCUAAUACCGGAUAAUAUUUUGAACCGCAUGGUUCAAAAGUGAAAGACGGUCUUGCUGUCACUUAUAGAUGGAUCCGCGCUGCAUUAGCUAGUUGGUAAGGUAACGGCUUACCAAGGCAACGAUGCAUAGCCGACCUGAGAGGGUGAUCGGCCACACUGGAACUGAGACACGGUCCAGACUCCUACGGGAGGCAGCAGUAGGGAAUCUUCCGCAAUGGGCGAAAGCCUGACGGAGCAACGCCGCGUGAGUGAUGAAGGUCUUCGGAUCGUAAAACUCUGUUAUUAGUGAAGAACAUAUGUGUAAGCAACUGUGCACAUCUUGACGGUACCUAAUCAGAAAGCCACGGCUAACUACGUG